AGUGGAUGGGGAGCAACCUAGUUGUGCGUGUGUAAAGGUAGUGCCAAGAAAAGCGAUGAUCAUGUUGAAAAUCAAUUCCCGGUACCCGAAACCGACACAGGUGGGCAAGUAGAGAAUACUAAGGGGCGCGAGGUAACUCUCUCCAAGGAACUCGGCAAAAUGACCCCGUAACUUAGGGAGAAGGGGUGCCACCGAGAGGUGGUCGCAGUGAAGAGGCCCAGGCGACUGUUUAGCAAAAACAUAGGUCUCUGCAAACUCGAAAGAGGAGGUAUAGGGGCUGACGCCUGCCCAGUGCCGGAAGGUUAAAGAAGUUGGUCAGUUUUAGGAUGAAGCUAGCGACUGAAGCCCCGGUGAACGGCGGCCGUAACUAUAACGGUCCUAAGGUAGCGAAAUUCCUUGUCGGGUAAGUUCCGACCCGCACGAAAGGCGUAACGAUCUGGGCACUGUCUCGGAGAGAGGCUCGGCGAAAUAGGAUUGUCUGUGAAGAUACGGACUACCUGCAUUUGGACAGAAAGACCCUAUGAAGCUUUACUAUAGCUUGGAAUUGUGUUCGGGCUUCCUGUGCGCAGGAUAGGUGGGAGGCGUAGAAGGUAUUCUUGUGGGGAUACUGGAGCCAACGGUGAGAUACCACUCUCAGGAGGCUAGAAUUCUAACUUAAUUAAGGACAGUUUCAGGUGGGUAGUUUGACUGGGGCGGUCGCCUCCAAAAAGGUAACGGAGGCGUACAAAGGUUCCCUCAGACUGGUUGGAAAUCAGUCGAAGAGUGCAAAGGCAGAAGGGAGCUUGACUGCGAGAAGUACAGUACGAGCAGGGUGGAAACACGGUCUUAGUGAUCCGACGGUGCUGUGUGGAAGGGCCGUCGCUCAACGGAUAAAAGUUACUCUAGGAUAACAGGCUGAUCUCCCCCAAGAGUUCACAUCGACGGGGAGGUUUGGCACCUCGAUGUCGGCUCAUCGCAACCUGGGGCGGAAGUACGUCCCAAGGGUUGGGCUGUUCGCCCAUUAAAGCGGUACGUGAGCUGGGUUCAGAACGUCGUGAGACAGUUCGGUCCAUAUCCGAUGUAGGCGUGAGAAUAUUGAGAGGAGCCUUCCUUAGUACGAGAGGACCGGGAAGGACGCACCGCUGGUGUACCUGUUAUGAUGCCAAUUGUAAACGCAGGGUAGCCAAGUGCGGAGAGGAUAACCGCUGAAAGCAUCUAAGUGGGAAGCCCACCUCAAGAUGAGUAUUCUGGUGUAAGGUCACGGGAAGACGACCCGUAAAUAGGCACGAGGUGGAAGUGCAGAGAUGUAUGAAGCCGAAGUGUACUAAUAGACCGUCGGCUUGACC
This 1325-nucleotide ribosomal RNA is filed under the name metagenome. Its description in RNAcentral is "bacterial LSU rRNA". It matches the Rfam family "Bacterial large subunit ribosomal RNA", at positions 1561 to 2925 of the family's 2925-position model. The record is from RNAcentral.